Molecule: small RNA, 303 nt
Filed under: Microtus ochrogaster (prairie vole)
Lineage: Eukaryota; Metazoa; Chordata; Mammalia; Rodentia; Cricetidae
Description: Metazoan signal recognition particle RNA (ENSMOCG00000012095.1)
Rfam family: Metazoan signal recognition particle RNA
About the family: The signal recognition particle (SRP) is a universally conserved ribonucleoprotein. It is involved in the co-translational targeting of proteins to membranes.
Source: RNAcentral
UCCGGGAGCGGUGGCGCAUGCCUGUAGUCCCAGCUACUCAGGAGGCUGAGACAGGAGGAUCGCUUGAGUCCAGGAGUUCUGGGCUGUAGUGCGCUAUCCGGAUCGGGUGUCCGCACUAAGUUCGGCAUCAAUAUGGUGACCUCCCGGGAGCGGGGGACCACCAGGUUGCCUAAGGAGGGGUGAACCGGCCCAGGUCGGAAACAGUAAAAGUAUUUUUAAACUAUUUUUGAUUCACUUUGAAUCAGUAAAUUUGCAGAUUGGCAACCUCUUAGAAAAAACCUACAGGGACAGUCACUUGUCUUU